RNAcentral lists this long non-coding RNA (1274 nucleotides) under Musa acuminata (dwarf banana). RNAcentral describes it as "long non-coding RNA (MACU_LNC008095)". Lineage: Eukaryota; Viridiplantae; Streptophyta; Magnoliopsida; Zingiberales; Musaceae. The record is from RNAcentral.
GGAUUCUCCUAGUGGAUUUGGACUAGAAAAGGCACCCUAGAGAAAAGCGGGGGUUGAGAAAAGUGGGAGAGCUAGUUUGAAAGCAGAGAGAUUUUAUUGUGACCAUAAGUAUGACUCUAAGUCCCGUACUGUGGUACAUCGUACCUAUGAGUUUCAGAAUAAGGCAGUAAGACCUAUAGCCAGUAAGGUAAGCCCAAGAUCUAGUAAUAGUAGACUUCCCCGGAUAGUAGACUUCGGGAGGCAAACUAUAGACUUAAAGGAGCAAGCAGGAAUCCGUAUCAGUAGCUAAAGAACCCAAGUAGAUAUGUGAGUUUGAAAUCGACGUAGUUGUAGGACUUAUAGUUAAGAGCGCCAGGCUAUGACAAAGAAGUGGUGGGCUCAUGCGGUGGAGUAAGGAUCGAAGCAAGGGGAUAGCGGUUGAGGCAUAGGAAAUAAAGACGGAGUUCCUAGCUAGGUUCUUCUCACUAGUAGGUUGAUUCCCGAGUUCGACUCUUUGUAUUAGUCGUUUGGUUCUUACUUCAGAGCAGCUGUCCAGUUGGGUAGUAGUUCAUUCCCAGUUAGUUAAGUAAGCUUUAAGCAUUUGCCUACAGCCAUCUAAAGCAGCCCUUGCUUCAAGCUUUUAAGCCGGUACCGCCCUACUGCUAUUAUGUUAUUUCAACCUACGCUCCACAAACAACUAGCCUGCCUUUUUCUCCUAUGAAACUGAAAAUACUACCAGUGAGCCUGCCUCCUAAACAGUGAUAUGCUACCAACGAGAAUUGAGCUAGAAGAAUAGUACGUACGGGCGAGAAGGGGACUGAGACGUCGCCCAAGAAAUAAUAAUGAAAUGUCAGAAAGUCAGAAAACCUACCUAGUGGAGGUACACCUCGGCUAAGUCAACAAAUACAAAUACUAAUAUAUACCAAUAUAAGACUCGAAAAACCACUUAAUCAGAACAAAAACAGAGCUAAAGAACUUUAUUCAUCAAUAGGAAAUCAAAUACUACCUACGAGCCCAACACUCCUUGACCUAAAUCUGACUUAAUGACAUCUAAAUCUGGUUUUCGAGUUAAUGUACAGUAAUGCGGACUUGAAUGAUUUAAUCCCUUGCUUUGAAACUGCAUCCCCACUAGCAUACCCUCAAACAGGACAUAGAGUCACUAAGUUACCUGAGAAACUGGAAGAAUCGUUUGGCACCUACGCAGCCCUUAUCCAGCUAUGAACUUGAAACUGAAAACUCCAACUUGAAGAAUCGUUUGGCACCCGUAAAUUACCCAUCGCUCAAUUACCCAUCGC